GACGAACGCUGGCGGCGUGCUUAACACAUGCGAGUCGAACGGAAAGGCCCUGCUUUUGUGGGGUGCUCGAGUGGCGAACGGGUGAGUAACACGUGAGUAACCUGCCCUUGACUUUGGGAUAACUUCAGGAAACUGGGGCUAAUACCGGAUAGGAGCUCCUGCUGCAUGGUGGGGGUUGGAAAGUUUCGGCGGUUGGGGAUGGACUCGCGGCUUAUCAGCUUGUUGGUGGGGUAGUGGCUUACCAAGGCUUUGACGGGUAGCCGGCCUGAGAGGGUGACCGGGCACAUUGGGACUGAGGUACGGCCCAGACUCCUACGGGAGGCAGCAGUGGGGAAUAUUGCACAAUGGGCGGAAGCCUGAUGCAGCAACGCCGCGUGCGGGAUGACGGCCUUCGGGUUGUAAACCGCUUUCGCCUGUGACGAAGCGUGAGUGACGGUAAUGGGUAAAGAAGCACCGGCUAACUACGUG
Molecule: ribosomal RNA, 468 nt
Filed under: uncultured bacterium
Lineage: Bacteria
Description: partial 16S ribosomal RNA
Rfam family: Bacterial small subunit ribosomal RNA
Source: RNAcentral